RNAcentral lists this ribosomal RNA (669 nucleotides) under uncultured bacterium. Its description in RNAcentral is "bacterial SSU rRNA". It matches the Rfam family "Bacterial small subunit ribosomal RNA", at positions 57 to 718 of the family's 1533-position model. The record is from RNAcentral.
GCAGUCGACGGUAACGGAAGCAGCUUGCUGCUUCGCUGACGAGUGGCGGACGGGUGAGUAAUGUCUGGGAAACUGCCUGAUGGAGGGGGAUAACUACUGGAAACGGUAGCUAAUACCGCAUAACGUCGCAAGACCAAAGAGGGGGACCUUCGGGCCUCUUGCCAUCGGAUGUGCCCAGAUGGGAUUAGCUAGUAGGUGGGGUAACGGCUCACCUAGGCGACGAUCCCUAGCUGGUCUGAGAGGAUGACCAGCCACACUGGAACUGAGACACGGUCCAGACUCCUACGGGAGGCAGCAGUGGGGAAUAUUGCACAAUGGGCGCAAGCCUGAUGCAGCCAUGCCGCGUGUAUGAAGAAGGCCUUCGGGUUGUAAAGUACUUUCAGCGGGGAGGAAGGCGACAGGGUUAAUAACCCUGUCGAUUGACGUUACCCGCAGAAGAAGCACCGGCUAACUCCGUGCCAGCAGCCGCGGUAAUACGGAGGGUGCAAGCGUUAAUCGGAAUUACUGGGCGUAAAGCGCACGCAGGCGGUCUGUCAAGUCGGAUGUGAAAUCCCCGGGCUCAACCUGGGAACUGCAUUCGAAACUGGCAGGCUAGAGUCUUGUAGAGGGGGGUAGAAUUCCAGGUGUAGCGGUGAAAUGCGUAGAGAUCUGGAGGAAUACCGGUGGCGA